RNAcentral lists this transfer RNA (55 nucleotides) under Armadillidium album. RNAcentral describes it as "tRNA-Cys". The record is from RNAcentral. Lineage: Eukaryota; Metazoa; Arthropoda; Malacostraca; Isopoda; Armadillidiidae.
CGGUUUAACUAAUCUUAAAUUGCAAGUUUAAGUAAGCAAUUAUUGCAAAAACCUU